UGGCCUGAUACGAGCCGAUCGAUGCAUAUUGGCGAACACAGUGCAUCGAUAAAGUUCUCGAUACAAGAUGGAAACCGAUAUUUACAAGACUGGUUUCAUGGGCUGCUGCAGAGAAGGAUAUGGUUUUUUACAGAAUAUACCAAGCAUGUGAACUACAUAUUACAAGUUUUUUAUAGGUCUUCCUGCAGGGCUCACAUAUAGGGAUCUAGUUCACAUAGAGAUAAGACUUAAAUGGGGUUGUUGAGAUAGUGGCAAAGGCUGCGGUUCUCAUGGAGGUAGUCAUGGUGUCGUUUUUUACAGAAUGUUGGAGUUAAAUGUGUAUACUUAUGAGCUCUGGAUACAACUAAAGAACAUCUUGCUGAUGUCAACUUUCAAGGGAGUUCAGGUCUGGGAUUUCCUUUGAACUUAAAGAACGGGAGCAUAUAUGUUCACAUGGAGAACAAAGAAUCCGAUACUCAUCUAAAAAUUUGGGAAAGGAAAUGUUAUUGCUUCUAGAACAAAACUUUAAAAGGUUCACUUAGUUUGCUUUUCUCGUAAUGUGGCAGCCAAGUUAAAAGCUUGGAAAUGUUCAGA
Molecule: long non-coding RNA, 573 nt
Organism: Nymphaea colorata (pocket water lily)
Lineage: Eukaryota; Viridiplantae; Streptophyta; Magnoliopsida; Nymphaeales; Nymphaeaceae
Exons: 3
Source: RefSeq, a predicted model, not a curated record